Molecule: long non-coding RNA, 342 nt
Filed under: Olea europaea (common olive)
Lineage: Eukaryota; Viridiplantae; Streptophyta; Magnoliopsida; Lamiales; Oleaceae
Description: long non-coding RNA (OEUR_LNC004473)
Source: RNAcentral
GAAGGAAUUGGAAUGGAAUAAGAUCGAUUCAUACAGAAGAAAAGGUUCUCUAUUGAUUCAAACACUGUACCUAUGGGAUAGGGAUAGAGGAAGAGGAAAAAACCGAAGAUUUCACAUAGUACUUUUGAUCGAAAAAUCAAUCAGAUUGAUUUCGUACCCUUCGUUCAAUGAGAAAAUGGGUCAAAUUCUACAGGAUCAAACCUAUGGGACUUAAGGAAUGAUAUAAAAAAAAAGAGAGGGAAAAAUAUUAAAUAAAAAUGAAGUAGAAGAACCCAGAUUCCAAAUGAACAAAUUCAAACUUGAAAAGGAUCUUUCUGAUUCUUGAAGAAUGAGGGACAAAGG